This is a small nucleolar RNA of Grammomys surdaster, 121 nucleotides long. RefSeq annotates it as small nucleolar RNA SNORA72. The record is from RefSeq and is a predicted model, not a curated record. The transcript has a single exon. NCBI's taxonomy places the organism in Eukaryota, Metazoa, Chordata, Mammalia, Rodentia, Muridae.
CAGAACUCUUAAAAUGAGUCUGUAAUGAUCAGGUCAGGCUAAACAUCACCCCAAGCAAACCACACAUGUGCCCCAGACCGAGUUCUUUCCCUAGGUCUGGUUUUCAAAUGCUGGGACAAAG